This 200-nucleotide ribosomal RNA is filed under the name uncultured bacterium. Its description in RNAcentral is "partial 16S ribosomal RNA". It matches the Rfam family "Bacterial small subunit ribosomal RNA", at positions 8 to 208 of the family's 1533-position model. The record is from RNAcentral.
AGAGUUUGAUCCUGGCUCAGGACGAACGCUGGCGGCGUGCCUAAUACAUGCAAGUCGAACGGAUCUUCUCCUUCGGGAGAAGGUUAGUGGCGGACGGGUGAGUAACACGUAGGCAACCUGCCUGCAAGACUGGGAUAACAUUCGGAAACGAAUGCUAAGACCGGAUACGCAAGUCUGAGGCAUCUCGGGCUUGGGAAACA